RNAcentral lists this ribosomal RNA (253 nucleotides) under uncultured bacterium. RNAcentral describes it as "partial 16S ribosomal RNA". It matches the Rfam family "Bacterial small subunit ribosomal RNA", at positions 524 to 776 of the family's 1533-position model. The record is from RNAcentral.
UACGGAGGGUGCGAGCGUUGUCCGGAAUCACUGGGCGUAAAGGGCGCGUAGGCGGCGCGGGUAGUCAUCGGUGAAAGUUCAGGGCUCAACUCUGAAUCGGCCGGUGAUACUCCCGUGCUCGAGCACUGUAGAGGCAGGUGGAAUUCCGGGUGUAGCGGUGGAAUGCGUAGAGAUCCGGAAGAACACCAGUGGCGAAGGCGACUCACUGGACACGUAUUGACGCUGAGGAGCGAAAGCCAGGGGAGCAAACGGG